ACAGAGGUCCCAAGCGUUGUUCGGAUUCACUGGGCGUAAAGGGUGCGUAGGCGGCGGGGAAAGUUUGAUGUGAAAGCUCCGGGCUUAACCCGGAAAUUGCAUUGAAAACUCCCCCGCUCGAGGAUUGGUAGGGAGACUGGAAUGCUCGGUGUAGCAGUGAAAUGCCUAGAUAUCGAGCGGAACACCAGUGGCGAAGGCGAGUCUCCGGACAAUUCCUGACGCUGAGGCACGAAAGCCAGGGUAGCAAACGGGAUUAGAUACCCCGGUAGUCCUGGCCCUAAACGGUGCGCAUUUGCUGUGAGCGGAUUCGACCCCGCUCGUGGCGCAGCUAACGCGUUAAAUGCGCCGCCUGGGGAGUACGGUCGCAAGAUUA
RNAcentral lists this ribosomal RNA (373 nucleotides) under uncultured bacterium. Its description in RNAcentral is "bacterial SSU rRNA". It matches the Rfam family "Bacterial small subunit ribosomal RNA", at positions 525 to 896 of the family's 1533-position model. The record is from RNAcentral.